AUUGAACGCUGGCGGCAUGCCUUACACAUGCAAGUCGAACGGUAACAGGUUAAGCUGACGAGUGGCGAACGGGUGAGUAAUAUAUCGGAACGUGCCCAGUAGUGGGGGAUAGCCCGGCGAAAGCCGGAUUAAUACCGCAUACGACCUACGGGUGAAAGGGGGGAGUCGCAAGACCUCUCGCUAUUGGAGCGGCCGAUAUCAGAUUAGCUAGUUGGUGGGGUAAAGACUCACCAAGGCGACGAUCUGUAGCUGGUCUGAGAGGACGACCAGCCACACUGGGACUGAGACACGGCCCAGACUCCUACGGGAGGCAGCAGUGGGGAAUUUUGGACAAUGGACGCAAGUCUGAUCCAGCCAUGCCGCGUGCGGGAAGAAGGCCUUCGGU
Molecule: ribosomal RNA, 385 nt
Filed under: uncultured bacterium
Lineage: Bacteria
Description: bacterial SSU rRNA
Rfam family: Bacterial small subunit ribosomal RNA
Source: RNAcentral